RNAcentral lists this ribosomal RNA (258 nucleotides) under uncultured bacterium. Its description in RNAcentral is "partial 16S ribosomal RNA". It matches the Rfam family "Bacterial small subunit ribosomal RNA", at positions 524 to 777 of the family's 1533-position model. The record is from RNAcentral.
GACGAACCGUGCGAACGUUAUUCGGAAUCACUGGGCUUAAAGCGCGUGUAGGCGGAUGGGUGCGUCGGCUUCUGAAAGCCCCCGGCUCAACCGGGGAAGUGGGGCCGAAACGACCCGUCUGGAGGGACGUAGGGGGAUCUGGAACUUCCGGUGGAGCGGUGAAAUGCGUUGAGAUCGGAAGGAACGCCCCGUGGCGAAAGCGAGAUCCUGGGACGUCUUCUACGCUGAGACGCGAAAAGCUAGGGGGAGCAAACGGGG